UGAAUACGAGAUGCUACGGCGUCGAAGCAGUGUAUGUCAGACUUCCAAGAAAAGCUCGCAAUGUCAUAAAUAAAGAAUGCCUGUACCAUAACCGACACAGGUGGGUAGGUAGAGUAUACUAAGGGGCGCGAGAUAACUCUCUCUAAGGAACUCGGCAAAAUAACUCCGUAACUUCGGGAGAAGGAGUGCCUUCUUUAAGAAGGUUGCAAUAACAAGAUCCAAGCAACUGUUUAUCAAAAACACAGGUCUCCGCUAAGUCGUAAGGCGAUGUAUGGGGGCUGACGCCUGCCCAGUGCCAGAAGGUUAAAGAAGUUGGUUAGCUUUUGCGAAGCUGAUGACUAAAGCCCUGGUGAACGGCGGCCGUAACGAUAACGGUCCUAAGGUAGCGAAAUUCCUUGUCGGGUAAGUUCCGACCCGCACGAAAGGCGUAAUGAUUUGGAUACUGUCUCGGAGAGGGACUCGGUGAAAUAGACUUGUCUGUGAAGAUGCGGACUACCUGCACCAGGACAGAAAGACCCUAUGAAGCUUUACUGUAACUUGAAAUUGAAAUUGGACUUUAUUUGCGCAGUAUAGGUGGAAGGCGUUGAAAGUAAUCUUGCGGGAUUAGUGGAGCCAUCAGUGAGAUACCACUCCUAUAAUGUUAGAUUUCUAACUUUGGAUCAUGAUCUGGUCAAAGAACAGUUUCAGGCGGGCAGUUUGACUGGGGCGGUCGCCUCCCAAAUGGUAACGGAGGCGUACAAAGGUUUCCUCUGAACGGGUAGAAAUCGUAUCUAGAGUGUAAAGGCAUAAGGAAGCUUGACUGUGAGACCUACAAGUCGAGCAGGGACGAAAGUGUCUUAGUGAUCUGACGGUGCUGAGUGGAAAGGCCGUCACUCAACGGAUAAAAGUUACUCUAAGGAUAACAGGCUGAUCUCCCCCAAGAGUUCACAUCGACGGGGAGGUUUGGCACCUUGAUGUCGGCUCAUCGCAUCCUGGGGCGGUAGUACGUCCCAAGGGUUGGGCUGUUCGCCCAUGAAAGCGGUACGCGAGCUGGGUUCAGAACGUCGUGAGACAGUUCGGUCCAUAUCCGGUGUAGGCGUUAGAAUAUUGAGAGGAGCCUUCUUUAGUACGAGAGGACCGAGAAGGACAUACCUCUGGUGUACCAGUUAUCGUGCCAACGGUAAACGCUGGGUAGCUAUGUAUGGAGAGGAUAACCGCUGAAAGCAUCUAAGUGGGAAGCCCACCUCAAGAUGAGUAUUCCC
RNAcentral lists this ribosomal RNA (1241 nucleotides) under metagenome. RNAcentral describes it as "bacterial LSU rRNA". It matches the Rfam family "Bacterial large subunit ribosomal RNA", at positions 1564 to 2815 of the family's 2925-position model. The record is from RNAcentral.